UACGGAGGGUGCAAGCGUUAUCCGGAUUCACUGGGUUUAAAGGGUGCGUAGGCGGGUAAGUAAGUCCGUGGUGAAAUCUCUGAGCUUAACUCAGAAACUGCCGUGGAUACUAUUUGCCUUGAAUAUUGUGGAGGUGAGCGGAAUAUGUCAUGUAGCGGUGAAAUGCUUAGAUAUGACAUAGAACAUCAAUUGCGAAGGCAGCUCACUACACAAUCAUUGACGCUGAGGCACGAAAGCGUGGGGAUCAAACAGG
Molecule: ribosomal RNA, 253 nt
Filed under: uncultured bacterium
Lineage: Bacteria
Description: partial 16S ribosomal RNA
Rfam family: Bacterial small subunit ribosomal RNA
Source: RNAcentral